Molecule: ribosomal RNA, 466 nt
Filed under: uncultured Clostridiaceae bacterium
Lineage: Bacteria; Bacillati; Bacillota; Clostridia; Eubacteriales; Clostridiaceae
Description: bacterial SSU rRNA
Rfam family: Bacterial small subunit ribosomal RNA
Source: RNAcentral
AGGCUUUGAUCCUGGCUCAGGAUGAACGCUGGCGGUGUGCCUAAUACAUGCAAGUCGAGCGAUUUUUUUUGAGAAGAGCGGCGGAUGGGUGAGUAAUGUGUGGGUAACCUGCCCUGUACACACGGAUAACAUACCGAAAGGUAUGCUAAUACGGGAUAACAUAUUUUGAUGGCAUCAUCGAAAUAUCAAAGCUCCGGCGGUACAGGAUGGACCCGCGUCUGAUUAGCUAGUUGGUGAGGUAAUGGCUCACCAAGGCGACGAUCAGUAGCCGACCUGAGAGGGUGAUCGGCCACAUUGGAACUGAGACACGGUCCAAACUCCUACGGGAGGCAGCAGUGGGGAAUAUUGCACAAUGGGCGAAAGCCUGAUGCAGCAACGCCGCGUGAGCGAUGAAGGCCUUCGGGUCGUAAAGCUCUGUCCUCAAGGAAGAUAAUGACGGUACUUGAGGAGGAAGCCCCGGCUAAAA